UGGGGAAUUUUGGACAAUGGGCGAAAGCCUGAUCCAGCAAUGCCGCGUGUGUGAAGAAGGCCUUCGGGUUGUAAAGCACUUUUGUCCGGAAAGAAAUCCUUGGCUCUAAUACAGUCGGGGGAUGACGGUACCGGAAGAAUAAGCACCGGCUAACUACGUGCCAGCAGCCGCGGUAAUACGUAGGGUGCAAGCGUUAAUUGGAAUUACUGGGCGUAAAGCGUGCGCAGGCGGUUUGCUAAGACCGAUGUGAAAUCCCCGGGCUCAACCUGGGAACUGCAUUGGCGACUGGCAGGCUAGAGUAUGGCAGAGGGGGGUAGAAUUCCACGUGUAGCAGUGAAAUGCGUAGAGAUGUGGAGGAAUACCGAUGGCGAAGGCAGCCCCCUGGGCCAAUACUGACGCUCAUGCACGAAAGCGUGGGGAGCAAACAGGAUUAGAUACCCCUGGUAGUCCACGCCCUAAACGAUGUCAACUAGUUGUUGGGGAUUCAUUUCCUUAGUAACGUAGCUAACGCGUGAAGUUGACCGCCUGGGGAGUACGGUCGCAAGAUUAAAACUCAAA
This 558-nucleotide ribosomal RNA is filed under the name uncultured bacterium. RNAcentral describes it as "partial 16S ribosomal RNA". It matches the Rfam family "Bacterial small subunit ribosomal RNA", at positions 355 to 905 of the family's 1533-position model. The record is from RNAcentral.